This is a long non-coding RNA of Triticum dicoccoides, 1091 nucleotides long. RefSeq lists it as uncharacterized. NCBI's taxonomy places the organism in Eukaryota, Viridiplantae, Streptophyta, Magnoliopsida, Poales, Poaceae. The transcript is spliced from 3 exons. The record is from RefSeq and is a predicted model, not a curated record.
UAGAGCUCCCCUCCUCUGCUCCCCCCAUAGCUCUCCUACGCGUCGUUGGAGCUCCCUUGGUCAGCUCCCCCAUGCCAGAGCUCCCCUCCUCUGCUCCCCCACAUAGCUCUCCCGCGCGACGCUUGGAGCUCCCCCGCCCCACGCCACCGCCGCGUUGCUUCCCCCUCGUUCCCCAUGGAGAACCAUGGCAAGGAGAAGGCUUGAUUUUUUUUUAUAUGCUCCCCGACGGGAGACGUCCUUCCCCGAGGGCGGCGAGCCGAAGCUAGCCCUACAUGUCGUCGAACACCUCCUCACUGGGUGGAUGCCGUCGGCCACGAAGUCGGUCCCGACUGCAUCUGCUCAACUCCACAGUCCACACCAAGAAUCGCUCUUGGCUAAAAUUGGUCUUCUCCAAGCACGUGCCGCCUCUCUUCUCCCGCCACUUCGCCGACCACGUCUUCACCGUCGGCAUCAGCGGUCCUGUUCGCACCGUAUGGUGGUGGUGAUAGCUGUUUAAUCGAUCUGGUACUCAGUGCUGGAUAUACUCCUUGUUGAGUCAAGUUGUGCUAGUACCCAAGCAUCUAUUUCAGGCCAAGUUUUCGCUCCAAUAUUGAUACACUUGGAUGAAAAUGACCCCUAGCUAGCGAUAUUGGGUGCGCAUGGGCCAGCCUGCUCCGUUGACUUGCUUUUCUAGGGUUUAUACGUUGGUUGUAUACGUGGGCGGGCCUCCUUCCUUCUCUGGGCUGCGCGUCGCCCUUCGUCGACGUGUGGUGGGCUGCGUCAGCGUACGCGGUACCGCUUUGCGCUGGGAAGGCGGUGCCGACUCGAUCGUCUGGCGUACGGGAGCUCCUAACGGGCGCCUUUAGCGCCAGUUGGCAGUUCGGGCGCCCACGCGGCUGUGAACUGGGCCGGCCCAGCAAAAAGUCAAGCGAGCAAAGAACAGCCAAAAAUUGGUCGAGUAGCGAACGACACGGGCAAACCAACUACACUACACCGGACUACUGGCGAAAUCAAGGAAGACUGUUUAAAGUACUCUGUCGCCGCACAAUUUAUUCAUAUACAUGUAAACGUACUGUAGCGCUUUGAUUUUUAAAUUAUUUGAAAACAUUUGG